UGGGGGAUAUUGCACAAUGGGCGAAAGCCUGAUGCAGCGACGCCGCGUGGGGGAUGAAGGCUUUCGGGUUGUAAACCUCUUUCGCUAUCGAACAAGGCCCGCUUAGGGUGGGUUGAGGGUAGGUGGAGAAGAAGCGCCGGCUAACUACGUGCCAGCAGCCGCGGUAAUACGUAGGGCGCGAGCAUUGUCCGGAAUUAUUGGGCGUAAAGGGCUUGUAGGCGGCUUGUUGCGCCUGCUGUGAAAACGCGGGGCUUAACUUCGCGCGUGCAGUGGGUACGGGCAGGCUUGAGUGUGGUAGGGGUGACUGGAAUUCCAGGUGUAGCGGUGGAAUGCGCAGAUAUCUGGAGGAACACCGAUGGCGAAGGCAGGUCACUGGGCCAUUACUGACGCUGAGGAGCGAAAGCAUGGGUAGCGAACAGG
This 420-nucleotide ribosomal RNA is filed under the name bacterium. RNAcentral's name for it is "partial 16S ribosomal RNA". It matches the Rfam family "Bacterial small subunit ribosomal RNA", at positions 355 to 776 of the family's 1533-position model. RNAcentral also lists the same sequence under 1 other name. The record is from RNAcentral.